AGCUUUAAACCCAACAACACCCGCCCCCCUCCAAAUCCUAUUAUUUACCCGGUGAUUGUUUGUUUGGUUUUAGGUUGGGGUGACCGCGGAGUAUAAGAUAUCCUCCAUGAAAAAAAGCUAACUGCCCUUAUUAGAGAAAGACACUUCCAAAAAAUAAUAAAUUAAUUUUAAAUGAUCCGACAUUCGAUCAACGAACCAAGUUACCCUGGGGAUAACAGCGCAAUCCGUCCCGAGAGCCCCUAUCGACAGGCGGGUUUACGACCUCGAUGUUGGAUCAGGGUAUCCCAGUGGUGCAGCAGCUACUAAAGGUUCGUUUGUUCAACGAUUAAAACCCU
Molecule: ribosomal RNA, 335 nt
Filed under: Boophis madagascariensis (Madagascar bright-eyed frog)
Lineage: Eukaryota; Metazoa; Chordata; Amphibia; Anura; Mantellidae
Description: partial 16S ribosomal RNA
Rfam family: Bacterial large subunit ribosomal RNA
Source: RNAcentral